Molecule: ribosomal RNA, 253 nt
Filed under: uncultured bacterium
Lineage: Bacteria
Description: partial 16S ribosomal RNA
Rfam family: Bacterial small subunit ribosomal RNA
Source: RNAcentral
UACGGGGGGGGCAAGCGUUGUUCGGAAUUACUGGGCGUAAAGGGCUCGUAGGCGGCCAACUAAGUCGGAUGUGAAAUCCCCAGGCUUAACCUGGGAACUGCAUCCGAUACUGGAUGGCUUGAAUUCGGGAGAGGGAUGCAGAAUUCCAGGUGUAGCGGUGAAAUGCGUAGAUAUCUGGAGGAAUACCGGUGGCGAAGGCAGCCCCCUGGGCUAACACUGACGCUCAUGCACGAAAGCGUGGGGAGCAAACAGG